Solanum tuberosum (potato) is the source of this 122-nucleotide non-coding RNA. The record is from RefSeq and is marked provisional. NCBI's taxonomy places the organism in Eukaryota, Viridiplantae, Streptophyta, Magnoliopsida, Solanales, Solanaceae.
GAAUGUUUCAGGGAGCUUUUGGAGUGGGUGGCAUGGUAAGAUAUCAUAUUUUGUUUUUCAUAAAAAAUGGAAUUGAAAUCUUACCGAUUCCCCCCAUUCCAAUGGCUUCCAGUCAUUUCUCC